Non-coding RNA from Danio rerio (zebrafish), 634 nucleotides. The record is from RefSeq and is a predicted model, not a curated record. NCBI's taxonomy places the organism in Eukaryota, Metazoa, Chordata, Actinopteri, Cypriniformes, Danionidae.
GACCCCUAAUGUUGAUUUUCUUGAUGGAAACUUUUUUUAUAAUGUUCUAAUUGGCUGGAAAUGUUUGAUUUAUUAUAUUAGGAUGCACAUAUGUACUUUUUUUUUGGGAUGAGGUGAAGUUGAAAUGCUGUUAAUUAUUUUCAUCUGUUAUGGAAGUGGAAAUAAACACCUCGGCUUUCUGAGUUUUGUCCACCAGUGGAAGAUUUGAAUCUUGGACCAACAUAGAAAUAGUUUAUGCUUUCUUGUUUACUGUGUCUCUGUGGUUUUAAACAUAAACCUGUCUUUUCCCAGGGCAACAGAGGUUAAAUGGAGUCAAUGGAGUCAUGUUGACAACAGCGAUGUGCACCGGUGAUGUUGUGGUCAGGAUGACGCCCGCUGAAUGAAAUGACCCAGGUCUGAUGGUCGCUCUACAAUGCGAAGCAGAUCUGAGGUGUGUUUUAGCAGUGUUGUGACUGUCCCUGGAAGUCCAGCAGUGCACAGAGACGGCAGUGUUUGACUGAAGAACACACACACGUAAUGCAGCACAGACACAGAGCUGUGUGUUUGUUGAAGAGGAGAGUCAUUAUGAUGAGAGUCAUCAGAGUAGGUGUGUUAUUAGAAGUCUUACUUGAGGAAGCUCCAGGCGAGGCAGGGC